ACUCGAAAGAGUGGCUAAUACCGCAUACGACCUGAGGGUGAAAAGCGGGGGGACCGAAAAGGCCUCGCGCGAUUGGAGCGGCCGAUGUCAGAUUAGGUAGUUGGUGGGGUAAAAGGCCUACCAAGCCUGCGAUCUGUAGCUGGUCUGAGAGGACGACCAGCCACACUGGGACUGAGACACGGCCCAGACUCCUACGGGAGGCAGCAGUGGGGAAUUUUGGACAAUGGGCGCAAGCCUGAUCCAGCCAUGCCGCGUGCGGGAAGAAGGCCUUCGGGUUGUAAACCGCUUUUGUCAGGGAAGAAAUCCUUUGGGUUAAUACCUCGGAGGGAUGACGGUACCUGAAGAAUAAGCACCGGCUAACUACGUGCCAGCAGCCGCGGUAAUACGUAGGGUGCAAGCGUUAAUCGGAAUUACUGGGCGUAAAGCGUGCGCA
This 433-nucleotide ribosomal RNA is filed under the name uncultured bacterium. RNAcentral describes it as "bacterial SSU rRNA". It matches the Rfam family "Bacterial small subunit ribosomal RNA", at positions 149 to 573 of the family's 1533-position model. The record is from RNAcentral.